Long non-coding RNA from Folsomia candida, 1003 nucleotides. RefSeq lists it as uncharacterized. The record is from RefSeq and is a predicted model, not a curated record. The transcript is spliced from 6 exons. Lineage: Eukaryota; Metazoa; Arthropoda; Collembola; Entomobryomorpha; Isotomidae.
AAAUUGGUUCAGUAGUUCAGUGACAAUUUGAAAAUGAAAUUGACGCGACUAUGUGGACGUAGACAUCUGUCCGACACUGUAGCUGUAGCAAAUUUGUUAUCUCACACGACAAAAAUGUUCAGGACUUUGAUUGGGGGACUACCACCACAGGGGGAAACAUGCAAAACAAAAAUUUUUUAAAUCAACACCGCCGCGGCGGUGUCAAUAUAUGACUUAACCACCUUGUGUGGGUACCUGGGGUUCGCCUGACUAAACAUUUUCCCAAAAUUCCUGAAUAUUCUAAUCGCCUUCCUUUGAUGCUACCAUUACGUCACUUGUAGUCCAGAUGAAAUUAAGAUUCCGGUUUUCAUUAUUGUUACUCAUGAUUGGAAUAAAAACUUGGAUAAAACUAAUGCAGAAAUUAAAACAUUUUGAAACAUUUGGUCUACGAGAUGGCGAAUGCCGAUGUUCUAAUACUUGAUCUAUGUAAUGUGUACGUAUCGUACUUAUCAAUUAUCAAUGCCAACUGAUAAAAUUCCAGCCAACUACUCCACCACACGUGCGUGAUAAGUUAAUACUCAACUACAAGUUCAGAGUGGUUGAAAUGUCUCACUACAAUUGAAAAUGCGAGUAAUUCGAAUUUCAUUUAGUUAUCGAAGUUUGGUCUCUGACAUGCAAUAUUGUGAAAAAUGUGGAAUAUUAGGCUAUUUUAAUAUAGAUCAAGGAUCUCAACUGUUCUUAAGUGCAAUCUAAUUUGAACACAUGUUUUAUGAUGUAUUGUAUGUAUGUGCUAAAAUGUCGGGUGACAUUUUAUUACAGGAAUGUCGGUAUGCAUUUAUUGAAGGCUAGCAUUCUUCUAGCACUUAACCAAGCACUCAAGGGUGUUAUUAAUUCUGUUUUUAGAUCUAUUUCCGCUGCCCUCGGUCAGCUUCACCAAAUUAUCCUUUUUGUAUGAAUGCAAACUCAAUGUUAUAAAAGCACAUUGAAAUGAACUAAUAAAUAAUAGUUUGAAUCUGUCUUUAAA